This 305-nucleotide ribosomal RNA is filed under the name uncultured bacterium. RNAcentral's name for it is "bacterial SSU rRNA". It matches the Rfam family "Bacterial small subunit ribosomal RNA", at positions 338 to 657 of the family's 1533-position model. The record is from RNAcentral.
CCUACGGGAGGCAGCAGUGGGGGAUAUUGCACAAUGGGGGGAACCCUGAUGCAGCGACGCCGCGUGGGCGAUGGAGCGCCUCGGCGCGUAAAGCUCUAUCAGCAGGGAAGAAAGAAAUGACGGUACCUGACUAAGAAGCCCCGGCUAACUACGUGCCAGCAGCCGCGGUAAUACGUAGGGGGCAAGCGUUAUCCGGAUUUACUGGGUGUAAAGGGAGCGUAGACGGCAAUGCAAGUCUGGAGUGAAAGGCGGGGGCCCAACCCCCGGACUGCUCUGGAAACUGUAUAGCUGGAGUGCAGGAGAGG